RNAcentral lists this transfer RNA (77 nucleotides) under Lactobacillaceae bacterium. Its description in RNAcentral is "tRNA-Met". It matches the Rfam family "tRNA". Rfam says of the family: Transfer RNA (tRNA) molecules are approximately 80 nucleotides in length. Their secondary structure includes four short double-helical elements and three loops (D, anti-codon, and T loops). Further hydrogen bonds mediate the characteristic L-shaped molecular structure. tRNAs have two regions of fundamental functional importance: the anti-codon, which is responsible for specific mRNA codon recognition, and the 3' end, to which the tRNAs corresponding amino acid is attached (by aminoacyl-tRNA synthetases). tRNAs cope with the degeneracy of the genetic code in two manners: having more than one tRNA (with a specific anti-codon) for a particular amino acid; and 'wobble' base-pairing, i.e. permitting non-standard base-pairing at the 3rd anti-codon position. The record is from RNAcentral. Lineage: Bacteria; Bacillati; Bacillota; Bacilli; Lactobacillales; Lactobacillaceae.
GGCGGGGUAGCUCAGUUGGUUAGAGCACGGGAAUCAUAAUCCCGGUGUCGGCGGUUCGAACCCGCCCCUCGCUACCA